ACGACCUUACUUGAACAGGAUCUGUUCUAUAGGCUCGUACCGCUGCAUCCUUUACCAAUAAGGAGGCAAGCACUUCAGUCUGGUUGAUGCAUUCUAACCUCAUGAUUAACGGCCUGGAUUCACCUGAUGGGUGCAUUCAAUGGCUGUAGAGGAUCGUUCCUGCCCGGUUCACACUGGUGCAGGGUGGCUUAGAGGUUGUCUGACAGACU
Non-coding RNA from Triticum aestivum (bread wheat), 209 nucleotides. NCBI's taxonomy places the organism in Eukaryota, Viridiplantae, Streptophyta, Magnoliopsida, Poales, Poaceae. The record is from Rfam.